CUGCUGCCUCCCGUAGGAGUCUGGGCCGUGUCUCAGUCCCAGUGUGGGGGGCCUUCCUCUCAGAACCCCUACGCAUCGUCGCCACGGUGGGCCGUCACCCCGCCGUCUAGCUAAUGCGCCGCAUGCCCAUCCGCCACCGGAUCGCUCCUUUGGCCACCGGAGGAUGCCCUCCGGUGGCGUCACGGGGUAUUAGGCCGCGUUUCCGCGGGUUAUCCCCCUGCGGCGGCCAGGUUGCAUACGUGUUACUCACCCGUGCGCCGGUCGCCGGCGGG
This 272-nucleotide ribosomal RNA is filed under the name uncultured bacterium. RNAcentral's name for it is "partial 16S ribosomal RNA". The record is from RNAcentral.